RNAcentral lists this ribosomal RNA (467 nucleotides) under uncultured bacterium. Its description in RNAcentral is "partial 16S ribosomal RNA". It matches the Rfam family "Bacterial small subunit ribosomal RNA", at positions 28 to 507 of the family's 1533-position model. The record is from RNAcentral.
GAUGAACGCUGGCGGCGUGCUUAACACAUGCAAGUCGAACGGUGAAGCAGAGCUUGCUCUGUGGAUCAGUGGCGAACGGGUGAGUAACACGUGAGCAACCUGCCCCUGACUCUGGGAUAAGCGCUGGAAACGGCGUCUAAUACUGGCUAUGAGCUGCGACCGCCUGGUCAGCAGUUGGAAAGAUUUUUCGGUCUGGGAUGGGCUCACGGCCUAUCAGCUUGUUGGUGAGGUAAUGGCUCACCAAGGCGUCGACGGGUAGCCGGCCUGAGAGGGUGACCGGCCACACUGGGACUGAGACACGGCCCAGACUCCUACGGGAGGCAGCAGUGGGGAAUAUUGCACAAUGGGCGAAGGCCUGAUGCAGCAACGCCGCGUGAGGGAUGACGGCCUUCGGGUUGUAAACCUCUUUUAGCAGGGAAGAAGCGAAAGUGACGGUACCUGCAGAAAAAGCGCCGGCUAACUACGUG